AUCCCCGUAGCUCAGCGGAUAGAGCACCGACGCGAAAUUGGAGGUCGAGGGUUCGAGUCCCUCCGGGGAUA
Molecule: transfer RNA, 71 nt
Filed under: Candidatus Nealsoniibacteriota bacterium
Lineage: Bacteria; Candidatus Nealsoniibacteriota
Description: Candidatus Nealsonbacteria bacterium tRNA-Ser
Rfam family: tRNA
About the family: Transfer RNA (tRNA) molecules are approximately 80 nucleotides in length.
Source: RNAcentral